This 520-nucleotide ribosomal RNA is filed under the name uncultured Glomus. RNAcentral's name for it is "SSU rRNA". It matches the Rfam family "Eukaryotic small subunit ribosomal RNA", at positions 569 to 1093 of the family's 1831-position model. Lineage: Eukaryota; Fungi; Glomeromycota; Glomeromycetes; Glomerales; Glomeraceae. The record is from RNAcentral.
AGCAGCCGCGGUAAUUCCAGCUCCAAUAGCGUAUAUUAAAGUUGCUGCAGUUAAAAAGCUCGUAGUUGAAUUUCGGGACCGAUAUAUCGGUCGUGCCUCGGUACGUACUGGUAUUUUCGGUUUCUACCUUCUGACGAACCUUGAUGCCAUUAAUUUGGUGUCUUGGGGAAUCAGGACUGUUACUUUGAAAAAAUUAGAGUGUUUAAAGCAGGCUCACGCUUGAAUACAUUAGCAUGGAAUAAUGAAAUAGGACGUUUGAUUCUAUUUUGUUGGUUUCUAGGAUCGACGUAAUGAUUAAUAGGGAUAGUUGGGGGCAUUAGUAUUCAAUUGUCAGAGGUGAAAUUCUUGGAUUUAUUGAAGACUAACUACUGCGAAAGCAUUUGCCAAGGAUGUUUUCAUUAAUCAAGAACGAAAGUUAGGGGAUCGAAGACGAUCAGAUACCGUCGUAGUCUUAACCAUAAACUAUGCCGACUAGGGAUCGGAUGAUGUAAUUUUUAAUGACUCAUUCGGCGCCUUACGG